GAUCCUGGCUCAGGAUGAACGCUGGCGGCGUGCCUAACACAUUCAAGUCGAACGGGAUUUAUUGAAUUAAUCCUUCGGGAAGCGUUUGAUAAAUUUAGUGGCGGACGGGUGAGUAACGCGUGAGCAACCUGCCUUUGCAACCGGGAUAACAGUUGGAAACGACUGCUAAUACGGGAUAAAGUAUUUGGAAUGCAUGUUCUGAAUACCAAAGAUACGUCGUGCAAAGAUGGGCUCGCGUCUGAUUAGA
This 247-nucleotide ribosomal RNA is filed under the name uncultured bacterium. RNAcentral describes it as "partial 16S ribosomal RNA". It matches the Rfam family "Bacterial small subunit ribosomal RNA", at positions 15 to 245 of the family's 1533-position model. The record is from RNAcentral.